CCUCAGUAACGGCGAGUGAAGCGGCAACAGCUCAAAUUUGAAAUCUGGCUCCUUCGGGGUCCGAGUUGUAAUUUGCAGAGGAUGCGUCGGGUACGGGUCCCUACCGAGUUCCCUGGAACGGGACGCCAUAGAGGGUGAGAGCCCCGUCUGGUAGGAUACCCAGCCCAUGUGACGCUCCCUCGACGAGUCGAGUAGUUUGGGAAUGCUGCUCUAACGGGAGGUAUACUCCUUCCAAAGCUAAAUACCGGCUGGAGACCGAUAGCGCACCAAGUAGAGUGAUCGAAAGAUGAAAAGCACUUUGAAAAGAGAGUCAAACAGCACGUGAAAUUGUUAAAAGGGAAGCACUCGCUACCAGACUUGGGUUUGGCGGUUCAACCGGGGCCACGCCCCGGGGCAUUCCGCCAGCUCAGGCCAGCAUCAGCUUUCCGUCGGGGGCAAAGACGUCGGGAAUGUGGCUCCCCCUCGGGGGAGUGUUAUAGCCCGGCGUGUCAUACCCUUCGGGGGGCUGAGGUACGCGCUUCUGCAAGGAUGCUGGCGUAAUGGUAGCUAGUGACCCGUCUUGAAACACGGACCAAGGAGUCAACCUUAUGUGCGAGUGCCCGGGCGUAAAACCCCAGCGCGGAAUGAAAGUGAACGUAGGUGAGAGCUUCGGCGCAUCACCGACCGAUCCUGAUGUCCUCGGACGGAUUUGAGUGAGAGCAUAUAGGGUUGGACCCGAAAGAAGAUGAACUAUGCGUGUGUAGGGUGAAGCCAGAGGAAACUCUGGUGGAGGCUCGCAGCGGUUCUGACGUGCAAAUCGAUCGUCAAACAUGCGCAUGGGGGCGAAAGACUAAUCGAAUCUUCUGGUAGCUGGUUUCCGCCGAAGUUUCCCUCAGGAUAGCAGUGUUGAUCCCAGUUUUAUGAGGUAAAGCGAAUGAUUAGGGACUCGGGGGCGCUAUAUUGCCUUCAUCCAUUCUCMAACUUUAAAUAUGUAAGAAGUCCCCGUUUCUUAACUGAACGCGGACGCUGGAAUGUCACAACACUAGUGGGCCAUUUUUGGUAAGCAGAACUGGCGAUGCGGGAUGAACCGAACGCGAGGUUAAGGUGCCGGAGUGGACGCUCAUCAGACACCACAAAAGGUGUUAGUACAUCUUUGACCAGCAGGACGGUGGCCAUGGAAGUCGGAAUCCGCUAAGGACUGUGUAACAACUCACCUGCCGAAUGUACUAGCCCUGAAAAUGGAUGGCGCUCAAGCGUCCCACCCAUACCUCGCCCUCGACGCUGGCUCGGCGCGUCGAGGAGUAGGCGGACGUGGAGGUCGGUGACG
This 1306-nucleotide ribosomal RNA is filed under the name Plectosphaerella pauciseptata. RNAcentral's name for it is "partial large subunit ribosomal RNA". Lineage: Eukaryota; Fungi; Ascomycota; Sordariomycetes; Glomerellales; Plectosphaerellaceae. The record is from RNAcentral.